UUACCAGUACACUAGCUACAUUGUAACAUGCGAACAAGAAUGUGGUUGCCUUGUCACUUUAUAAACCAUGAUCCCAUGUCCUGAUAUGACCAAAGAGGCCAAUACCGAGUAGCAACAAACCACUGAAGAAUCGAGUCCCUUGAACACCCUGUUCGUCAAUACCAACCUGAGACGCAACGUCACCUACCGCUUCAUCCAUUAAGCAACCAAUUCGCGAAGCAUUCAUGUUGAUCCACACAGUUCACUGGAGAAAGUAUAACGCCGUAAUUCCCAACGCCUCACAAUCUCAACUACAUAUGAGCAUCGCACAUACACGCAACUUGUUGGAAACAUAUAGACUACCUAUCUGUCAUGAGUACUGAGUAGGCAUGUACUGAUGAGAGCACUUCUUUUUUAAGCAACACUAAACAAAGCACCUGAUCACUACCACUCUUGUUUUUGAGUCUAACCUGAUCACUACCACUUGACAACAUGCAGUGCCGAGUGGGCCGAGAUUUAUAGAGUUGUGCCCAGAGCCAUGCCAUGACAUGCCACAGUCACGUGGUUGGCUCGAAGCCCUUUUAUUUUUCUUUUAAUAACCAUGCCAUGUGGGUUGGUCUUGUCAAUUACCCAUGUUAGUUUCCAGCACCUCCCACUCAAAAAAUCAAAAAAAGUUCGAACACCAGUACACAAAUAGCGUGUCACACACUGUCACUAGCCCAUCUGCGGCGAGGCAUGACAUCACACACACUCAUUAGUCAUGCACGCCAUGUGUUGUCAAAAUGGCUAAAAAACUAAAUCAGUUCCGUGUUGGUUUUGGUUCCUUUAGGUCUAUCACAUUUCAUACCAUCCCUAUUCAAACCAAUAAUACUAGUCUCAAGGGCAUAUGCAAAAGCUGAGACAUAUUCCAAAAACGCUUGUACUAAUAGAAGAAUGGUUAAAUACAAUCUUAAUUGAUGGCGCGCAAAAUUUCAUCCACGUCAUCACUAGUUUUCGAAAUAGUGGUGGCAUGACCGUAAUUAAUACCUCACCACUAUCCAUUACCGGUGGCGUUUCCAUAUUCUCCCACACCACUGAAGUGUUGGCCCUGUUGCUUGUCAACUCGCCACCAUAAGUGUUGCCGUGUGAGAUAGUUGACACACUAGAAGAAUUAGGGCUAGUUGUGGUGUGGGCCAGAUGAACACGUCACAAGUUUUUUUUCCAGCAAUAUCUAGGGUCUUUUGGGGGGCCCAAGUUACUUAUGGUGUGGCAUGUUAGGGCCGCACCACAACCUAUGUUGUUUUUUCACCUACCUAAGUAAAACAAAAACUACCUCCAUGCUUCCUAUCUCAUUCACCCUGUGCUUCCCACUAGCGACCAGCCACCGAACCUUGUCGCUCGUCGCCAUCGCCAGACCUCAACGCUUGUCGACACACCGCCAAAGAGAGUCGUCACAACAAGAAGUUUGAUCCCCCCUUCUCUCGCACCUCCCUCGUCCAGCGUCGUCGGACCUCGCCUCCCCUCGUGCCACACUGCCGGAGCGAGUCGCUAAGGUCUUUGUAGUGGUCAUAUGGUGAUGGUAGAAUUUUUUAGUGUCCAUAUGAGAUGAUAUGGUUAUGGUAGAAAUUUGUAGUGUACAAUUUGUGUAGUAUGUAAUGAUUGAUUGAUAUAUAUGCCAUCAUGGAUGAUAUGCUCAUGGAUUGAUUGAUUGAUAUGUUUAGUGUAGAAUCCGAUUAAUAUGCUUAGUGUAGAAUCUCUUUGUAUUAGUAAUCCGAUUGAUAUGCUCUGUGUGGAUUGAUAAUUUUGUAUAUGUUGGUGAAUAUGCACUCGUAUGCUUGAUAACUUUUUGCCCCCGGAUGCUAGUAAUUUUGUUUUGUUGGGGUAUGCAUAUAGUUAUAUGCUAUUUUAGUAAUUUUGUAUAUCACUAGUAGAAAACCGGGCUUUGGUCCACUUGAAGAAAUCCCAUUAGUCCCGGUUCACCCAUGAACCAGGACCUAUGGUGUCAUUGGUCCUGGCUCGUGAGGCCAGGGCGCCAGGCGGGCAUCAUGGGCCAUUGGUCCCGGUUCGUGUCAAUCCUUCGGUCCCGGUUCCAGGCACGAACCGGGACCAAUAGGCAGGGACCGUUUGUAUCCCCCUUUAGUCCCGGUUGGUGGGUGCUACUGCAACAAAAGACCUUCCAACGGCGCCAGAAACACGUGCUGACUGGAGACUGUUCUUUUCUUGAUUCUCCUCAGCAACGGCACCAGGAAUCCUUCUGCUACGGCUACGCCUUUAGGGACUUCCUAGGCAAAUAUGCAAAGGAUUUCCCCGUGGCCUUGGAGCCUUGCAUUGGUGUUCCCUCGAAGCGGAAAGGAUGAUGUAGCGCAGCGGUGGUAAGUAUUUCCCUCAGUUUUGAGAACCAAGGUAUCGAUCUAGUGAAGGAGUAUCACAAGUGCCUGCACAAACACAAAGAACCUGCUCCCAACGCUAUGAAGGGGUUGUCAAUCCCUUAUAGAUUGUUCGCAAAGUAAGAUCUGAAAGCAACAAAGUAACAAAGCAAAGUAAAAGCGGAGGUGUAAACGAUAGAUAUGAAUAGACCCGGGGGCCGUAGUGUUUACUAGUGACUUCUCUCAUGAAAGCAAGUAGACGGUGGGUGAGCAAAUUACUGUCGAGCAAUUGACAGAACCGCGCAAAGUCGUGAUGAUAUCUAUGGCAAUGAUUAUAUUUAUAGGCAUCACGUCCAAAACAAGCAGACCGAUACUUUCUGCAUCUACUACUAUUACUCCACAUGUCGACCGCUAUCCAGCAUGCAUCUAGUGUAUUAAGUCCAAAAGAAAAGAGUGACGCCUUAAGCAAGAUGACAUGAUGUAGAUGGACAAUCUCAUAUCAAUGACAAAGCCCACCUUGUUACCCUUGAUGGCAACCACUCAAUGUGUGCCUUGCUGCCCCUACUGUCACUGGGAAAGGUCACCACAUGGUAAGAACCCAAAACCAAGCACUUCUCCCAUUGCAAGAAUCAUAGAUCUAGUUGGCCAAACAAAACUCAAGACUCGGAGAGACUUACAAGGAUAUCAAAUCAUGCAUAUAAGAAAUCAGCAAAGACUCAAAUAUAUAUCAUAGAUAACCUGAUCACAAAUCCACAAUUCAUCGGAUCUCGACAAACACACCGCCAAAGAAGAUUACAUCGGAUAGAUCUCCAUGAAGAUCAUGGAGAACUUUGUAUUGAAGAUCCAAGAGAGAGAAGAAGCCAUCAGCUACUAACUACGGACCCGUAGGUCUGAAGUGAACUACUCACGAGUCAUUGGAGGGGCGAUGAUGAUGAAGAAGAAGCCCUCCAACUCCAAAGUCCCCUCCGGCAGGGUGCCGGGAAGGGUCUCCAGAUGAUAUCUCGCGGAAACGGAAGCUUGCGGCGACGGAAAAGUAUUUUCGGGGCUCCCUUGAUUUUUUUCUGAUUUUUAGGGAAUAUAUAGGCAGAAGAUCUAGGUCAGGGGGCGCUAGGGAGGCCACAAGCCUCCCCACCGUCCCCUCCCCCGUGGUGGCGGAGUGGGGGCUUGUGGGCUCCCUAGAGCCCUCCUGGCUUGGCCCACAGGCCCCCUGAUCUUCUUCCGUUUGGGAAAAAAUCAUUUCGGGGAUUUUAUUCCGUUUGGACUCCGUUCCAAAAUUAGAUCUGAAAAGAGCCAAAAACACACAAAAAACAGGAACUGGCACUUGGCAGUGAAUUAAUAAGUUAGUCCCAAAAAAGAUAUAAAAGAUACAUAAAACAUCCAAAGAUGACAAGAUAACAACGUAAAACCAUCAAAAAUUAUAGAUACGUUUGAGACAUAUCAGUGGGUUAAACCGGGACCAGGUGGACCGUUCGUAUCCCCCUUUAGUCCCGGUUAGUAGAGCAAAUCGGGACGAAGUGGUGGUGGCAACCGUUCGUAUCACCCUUUAAUCCCGGUUGGUGGCUCAAGGCGGGACUAAAGGCCCAAACAGUUUGUAUCCCGCUUCAUAAAAGCACAACCGAAUCAGAGUUUGUCGCCAUUUCUCUCUUCUUCUCCUCUCUCGCUCUCUUCUUCCCCUCUCUUCUUCCCUUCUCUUCUUCCACCAUGCCAACUCGCUUCGCAGAGGUGCUCGCACAUGGAAAUAACAAGCUCGAUGUCUUGUACACGAACGAGAGCAGGGAGGUGCCGCAUUUUCUUAGACAGUUGAAGGAACGGUGGCUUGAUGGCGCGGUGGAUCAUGAGAAGUUCUUGGGCCGGGGCUUGAUCUGGAGUACACGACCGAUCAACGAUGUGUUGUCGUCAACCAACUAUGUUUCAAACAUCAUGUCUUG
Molecule: long non-coding RNA, 4252 nt
Filed under: Hordeum vulgare
Lineage: Eukaryota; Viridiplantae; Streptophyta; Magnoliopsida; Poales; Poaceae
Description: long non-coding RNA (HVUL_LNC013760)
Source: RNAcentral